RNAcentral lists this ribosomal RNA (660 nucleotides) under Sinomonas sp. JC146. Its description in RNAcentral is "bacterial SSU rRNA". It matches the Rfam family "Bacterial small subunit ribosomal RNA", at positions 121 to 790 of the family's 1533-position model. Lineage: Bacteria; Bacillati; Actinomycetota; Actinomycetes; Micrococcales; Micrococcaceae. The record is from RNAcentral.
GCAACCUGCCCUUGACUCUGGGAUAAGCCUGGGAAACUGGGUCUAAUACCGGAUAGGACCCCUUGCCGCAUGGUGGGGGGUGGAAAGCCUUGUGCGGUCUUGGAUGGGCUCGCGGCCUAUCAGCUUGUUGGUGGGGUGAUGGCCUACCAAGGCGACGACGGGUAGCCGGCCUGAGAGGGUGACCGGCCACACUGGGACUGAGACACGGCCCAGACUCCUACGGGAGGCAGCAGUGGGGAAUAUUGCACAAUGGGCGGAAGCCUGAUGCAGCGACGCCGCGUGGGGGAUGACGGCCUUCGGGUUGUAAACCCCUUUCGGCAGGGAACAAGCCCCUUGGGGUGAGGGUACCUGCGGAAGAAGCGCCGGCUAACUACGUGCCAGCAGCCGCGGUAAUACGUAGGGCGCGAGCGUUAUCCGGAAUUAUUGGGCGUAAAGAGCUCGUAGGCGGUUUGUCGCGUCUGCUGUGAAAGCCCGGGGCUCAACCCCGGGUCUGCAGUGGGUACGGGCAGGCUGGAGUGCAGUAGGGGAGACUGGAAUUCCUGGUGUAGCGGUGAAAUGCGCAGAUAUCAGGAGGAACACCGAUGGCGAAGGCAGGUCUCUGGGCUGUAACUGACGCUGAGGAGCGAAAGCAUGGGGAGCGAACAGGAUUAGAUACCCUGG